CCUACGGGAGGCAGCAGUAGGGAAUCUUUCACAAUGGGCGAAAGCCUGAUGGAGCAACGCCGCGUGCAGGAUGAAGGCCUUCGGGUUGUAAACUGCUUUUAUUAGCGAGACAUAUGAUGGUAACUUAUGAAUAAGGAUCGGGUAACUACGUGCCAGCAGCCGCGGUCAUACGUAGGAUCCGAGCAUUAUCCGGAGUGACUGGGGGUAAAGAGGUGCGUAGGUGGCAUGUCGAGUCAAGGGGGAAAUCCCCGCGCUCAACGUGGGAACUGCCUUUGAAACUGGCAAACUGGAGUGUGUGAGAGGAUAGUGGAAUUCGAGGGGUAGCAGUGAAAUGCGUAGAUAUCUGGAGGAACAUCAGUGGCGAAGGCGACUAUCUGGCACAUAACUGACGCUGAGGAGCGAAAGCGUGGGUAGCGAACAGGAUUAGAUACCCCGGUAGUC
Molecule: ribosomal RNA, 441 nt
Filed under: uncultured bacterium
Lineage: Bacteria
Description: partial 16S ribosomal RNA
Rfam family: Bacterial small subunit ribosomal RNA
Source: RNAcentral